AUAGAGUUAAGUACCGUUAGUUAAAUUCGCAUUGUUAUGGAAGAGCUCUCCGGAAUUUUUUUAGCUUGCAAAAGUGAAACUAUACCCAUGAAACUAACACCUCUGUAUUUCCCUCUCCCCAGCCCCUGACAACCACUAUUCUACUUUCUGUUUCUAUGAAUUUGACUACUAUAGACAACUCAUGACCCGCCUUUGCACAACUAACAAAUUAGCUACAAGAUGAGAAGCUGUGGUUUAGGGGUCAUGCAGCCUCUGGCUCCAAGAGUCUGAACCUCCCCAAAUUGCUCCUGUGGAUAAUAUCACUAUUGUAAAACCUAGAUCAGCGCUUGAGAUAUUUUGCAGACCCUGCACUGGAUGGAUCAACUGAUACCACCCAGACUGGUAAUCUGGCUCAACCAGUUCUGCCAUCCUACCCAGGAACAGAAGACAGCAAGAAAACAUCACUUAAAUCCCCUAUUCAAUCCAUCUCCAACCUAACCAAUCAGCACUCCCCGCCUCCCAAGCUCUUACCCACCAAAUUAUCUUUUAAGACUCUGAUCCCCAUAUGCUUGGGAAGACUGAUCUGAAUAAUAAUAAAACUCUGGUUUCACCCA
This 593-nucleotide long non-coding RNA is filed under the name Homo sapiens (human). Its description in RNAcentral is "HSALNT0382340". Lineage: Eukaryota; Metazoa; Chordata; Mammalia; Primates; Hominidae. The record is from RNAcentral.